This 2264-nucleotide ribosomal RNA is filed under the name Salmonella enterica. RNAcentral's name for it is "partial 23S ribosomal RNA". It matches the Rfam family "Bacterial large subunit ribosomal RNA", at positions 689 to 2925 of the family's 2925-position model. The record is from RNAcentral. Lineage: Bacteria; Pseudomonadati; Pseudomonadota; Gammaproteobacteria; Enterobacterales; Enterobacteriaceae.
UGGGCGUUAAGUUGCAGGGUAUAGACCCGAAACCCGGUGAUCUAGCCAUGGGCAGGUUGAAGGUUGGGUAACACUAACUGGAGGACCGAACCGACUAAUGUUGAAAAAUUAGCGGAUGACCUGUGGCUGGGGGUGAAAGGCCAAUCAAACCGGGAGAUAGCUGGUUCUCCCCGAAAGCUAUUUAGGUAGCGCCUCGUGAAUUCAUCUCCGGGGGUAGAGCACUGUUUCGGCUAGGGGGCCAUCCCGGCUUACCAACCCGAUGCAAACUGCGAAUACCGGAGAAUGUUAUCACGGGAGACACACGGCGGGUGCUAACGUCCGUCGUGAAGAGGGAAACAACCCAGACCGCCAGCUAAGGUCCCAAAGUCAUGGUUAAGUGGGAAACGAUGUGGGAAGGCCCAGACAGCCAGGAUGUUGGCUUAGAAGCAGCCAUCAUUUAAAGAAAGCGUAAUAGCUCACUGGUCGAGUCGGCCUGCGCGGAAGAUGUAACGGGGCUAAACCAUGCACCGAAGCUGCGGCAGCGACACUCAGGUGUUGUUGGGUAGGGGAGCGUUCUGUAAGCCUGUGAAGGUGGCCUGUGAGGGUUGCUGGAGGUAUCAGAAGUGCGAAUGCUGACAUAAGUAACGAUAAAGCGGGUGAAAAGCCCGCUCGCCGGAAGACCAAGGGUUCCUGUCCAACGUUAAUCGGGGCAGGGUGAGUCGACCCCUAAGGCGAGGCCGAAAGGCGUAGUCGAUGGGAAACGGGUUAAUAUUCCCGUACUUGGUGUUACUGCGAAGGGGGGACGGAGAAGGCUAUGUUGGCCGGGCGACGGUUGUCCCGGUUUAAGCGUGUAGGUGUGUGUUCCAGGUAAAUCCGGUUCACUUUAACACUGAGGCGUGAUGACGAGGCACUACGGUGCUGAAGCAACAAAUGCCCUGCUUCCAGGAAAAGCCUCUAAGCAUCAGGUAACAUCAAAUCGUACCCCAAACCGACACAGGUGGUCAGGUAGAGAAUACCAAGGCGCUUGAGAGAACUCGGGUGAAGGAACUAGGCAAAAUGGUGCCGUAACUUCGGGAGAAGGCACGCUGACACGUAGGUGAAGUGAUUUACUCAUGGAGCUGAAGUCAGUCGAAGAUACCAGCUGGCUGCAACUGUUUAUUAAAAACACAGCACUGUGCAAACACGAAAGUGGACGUAUACGGUGUGACGCCUGCCCGGUGCCGGAAGGUUAAUUGAUGGGGUCAGCGCAAGCGAAGCUCCUGAUCGAAGCCCCGGUAAACGGCGGCCGUAACUAUAACGGUCCUAAGGUAGCGAAAUUCCUUGUCGGGUAAGUUCCGACCUGCACGAAUGGCGUAAUGAUGGCCAGGCUGUCUCCACCCGAGACUCAGUGAAAUUGAACUCGCUGUGAAGAUGCAGUGUACCCGCGGCAAGACGGAAAGACCCCGUGAACCUUUACUAUAGCUUGACACUGAACAUUGAGCCUUGAUGUGUAGGAUAGGUGGGAGGCUUUGAAGUGUGGACGCCAGUCUGCAUGGAGCCGACCUUGAAAUACCACCCUUUAAUGUUUGAUGUUCUAACGUGGACCCGUGAUCCGGGUUGCGGACAGUGUCUGGUGGGUAGUUUGACUGGGGCGGUCUCCUCCUAAAGAGUAACGGAGGAGCACGAAGGUUGGCUAAUCCUGGUCGGACAUCAGGAGGUUAGUGCAAUGGCAUAAGCCAGCUUGACUGCGAGCGUGACGGCGCGAGCAGGUGCGAAAGCAGGUCAUAGUGAUCCGGUGGUUCUGAAUGGAAGGGCCAUCGCUCAACGGAUAAAAGGUACUCCGGGGAUAACAGGCUGAUACCGCCCAAGAGUUCAUAUCGACGGCGGUGUUUGGCACCUCGAUGUCGGCUCAUCACAUCCUGGGGCUGAAGUAGGUCCCAAGGGUAUGGCUGUUCGCCAUUUAAAGUGGUACGCGAGCUGGGUUUAGAACGUCGUGAGACAGUUCGGUCCCUAUCUGCCGUGGGCGCUGGAGAACUGAGGGGGGCUGCUCCUAGUACGAGAGGACCGGAGUGGACGCAUCACUGGUGUUCGGGUUGUCAUGCCAAUGGCACUGCCCGGUAGCUAAAUGCGGAAGAGAUAAGUGCUGAAAGCAUCUAAGCACGAAACUUGCCCCGAGAUGAGUUCUCCCUGAGACUUAAAGUCUCCUGAAGGAACGUUGAAGACGACGACGUUGAUAGGCCGGGUGUGUAAGCGCAGCGAUGCGUUGAGCUAACCGGUACUAAUGAACCGUGAGGCUUAACCUUACA